Molecule: long non-coding RNA, 3664 nt
Filed under: Carica papaya (papaya)
Lineage: Eukaryota; Viridiplantae; Streptophyta; Magnoliopsida; Brassicales; Caricaceae
Description: long non-coding RNA (CPAP_LNC002641)
Source: RNAcentral
UUUAUAUAUCCUAAAACAUGGAAUUACCUGAAAGAAAGGAAGAUCUUAUCUCGAUCAGUAAACAAUCGAGAUUUUAAAUCUUCAAACAUGCAUACAGAUCCAAUUUCUUCCUAAAAUACAAGUCCUAAUUAAUUCUAAAUCUAAAUUAUUCAAUUUACUUUAAAUAAUUUAAAUAUAAGUAAGUGAAUAUUAAAUAUGUGAAAUCCUAAAUUUUCAUAUUUAACUUGAACUGGGUUCGAAUUUCUCAAAGGAAACACUCUCGGUACACUGUAUGAGAGGGCUGGACUGGGCUUGAACCUGCAUGCACAAACAAGUCCGAUUAGAGACUGGUCAAGCUGAUGGAAACCAUAACAGAGAAUGAACUUACCUCAUGGUAUCAACGCAGGCCCCAAGUUAUGGCCUCCUUGUUCAUCAUGUAUGGUGGAUGAACCGGGUUUGAGACCUCGUGGCUAUAGAGGGAGGCUCAAGUUGCAGUAUGUAAUCUUCUCUAAUCUCAGUUAUCGUCCACUUGUUUCUCUCAUUCAUAAGUAAAAAUACAUAUGUUAUUAACAACGAAUAAUAAUCGAAAACGAUACAAAACGAAAGGGGACUGAUUUUACCACUGAACAUGCGGUCCCCAGUCACCAUGCACCACCACGUGCCACCAUUGGAAUAGCCAUGUGUUGUCGCACACGCCACCUGCGCACCACCACUAGACUUGUCACACGUCGCUGCACAUGGAGCUAAAUAUUCACAUAAAUCCAAUCGAAAAAACUCCAUAUAUCUAGCCCUUUUCCAUCGUGCAUAGAUCUAACCACCAUCACGCACAGUACCAACACUGUCGGAAUUUUCUCCCCACUGCCAUGUUACUGCAUACACGAAAUGGGCCUGUCUUCCUGUUGUAACAUCGCAUCUUCUUUCCCUAAUAAAUUGAUGUCCCUCGAUUUCUUUUCUGUUGGCAUCACACGCCAUAUAGCUCUCAUCUGGUCAUAGUCGUCGCACGCCAAGCCUCGCGCCUCCCUUCUUCUUUUCCUUCUUUUACCCCUUGUUCUUCCUUUUUUCUUCUUUUUUUUUCUUCUUUGUUGUGUCUUUUUCUUCUGUGCGGUGGUUCUUUCUUUCAUCCCGAUCAAUUACUGGUCCUUUCUCAUCAAGUCGCGUCGAUUCUUCUUCCAUUAAUGCACAAAUCUCCCUUUUUUACUGCACACCAUGCCCUCUUUUCUCUCUUCCGGUUGCCCUCUCCUCUCCCCUAGCUGUGAUGACCCACUCGUUCUCUCUCUCUCUCUCUCUUUCCCUUUGCACCUCUAUCUCUUCCCUCUCUCCCCUGAUCGACUCCCCCCUUCCUCAGGAAACCCUAAUCGGGUUUUCACUUAUAUCUUAUUCCUUGGUAGUCCAAUCUCCUUCAAUCUCACUCGUUCAUUUUCAGAUCUCGCCAUGUGUAUGCACACAUGACAGAGCGGCCUGGCCCACCUUGCCAUUUCAUUUGCUAAGGUGUCUAACACUUCUCAAAUUUACAUUUUAGCUUUAUUUUUUGUAUUUAUUGUCAUUUAGGUUUUUUUAUUCACAAAAUGUCACUAAAAUUUAAUUUUUUCUUCACUUAAGCCCCCAAAAUCUUAAUUUUUAUAAUUUUAGGUUUAAUUUAAGGAAUUCAUAAAGUCGCGGGUGUUACAUAAAUAAUUUAUAUAAAUUAAAAAAAUUAGUGGGACAAUAUUGGAACACCCACCGAAACCUUUUUUUUUCAUUUUUUAUUAAUAAAUAUAAUUAUUUAUUUAUUUAUUUAUUUAUUUUAUUAUAUUUUAUUUUAAUUUAAUGAAAAAAGGGGUAAAAUUUAUUAAGGAUUAAAUUGAAGAUAAUUUUUUUAAAAAAGGUGAAAAAUUGGGUUCAGGAGGUAUUUUUGAAAGAAAAAUUGAAAACCGAGAGUCAAAACGCAAUUUAAAAAAAUUUUACCACGUUAGACGCCCGAUCAGUACCCCGACCAAUCAGGAUGCACCAAGUGGUAGAGGCGCUUAUGUGGGAGGCCACGCGGAGGAGAGCCACGCGGGCAAUCCGCGUGCGCGUGAUCGAAUUGCCGAGGUCCAUUCCCACGCGCACGGACGACCCAGAGUGAAUCGCGUACGGACAGACCAGAUUGGAUCGCGAAGAAUGGCCCAAAUUCACUCCCUAUUUAAUCGUGAUCAGACGGUCUAGAUUAAACGCGAUGGACGGUCCAGAUCAAAAGCGGAUAUGUAUAAAUAACCCCAUUUGCACCCAAACCCUAACCCUAGCCGCCAGAACCCCUCGCCGGAGAAGACAAACCAGUUGCCGGAAAGCUGACCGCCGCCAUCCACCGCUACACCGGAACCUUUUCCGACCGCCAAAAACGGUAAAAAAAUUUCUUUUUACACGAAAUUCAAUUUUAAACCCACCAUGGCCAAAUGGAAGUGAAAGAACUGACCAAUUGGUCAGAAAACACAAACAAAGCCCGUGGGCUUUGCCUCGGAGAAUUUCACAAACUGCCUGCGAUGAAGCCUUUUUCGAUUCCUGUUUCACGUAAUUUUUCUACCGUUGUGAUCACCAUUUUCUUCUCUACAGGUUGACCGAAACAAAAUACUCAAUCGCAACAUGAACCGAAGGAGCCACCGCACCGGAGAGCCCUGCCGCUAGUGAGUUUCAAUUUUUCGUAUUUUUUCGGUCCACCGAGGCCCUUCAGCGUGUGUGCUUGCUGGAAUCGAUGCAAAAUCGGCCAAAUUCGGCCAAAAAUGGCCGACCCGAGAUAGACCGUUGUCGCCGUGCCGGAUUUUUAAAAUUAGUCUAGCGAGCCCUGGGACUGAUUUUUGGUUUAUUUGAAACAAUUGUAGGUACUAUAAACGCAUUUCAGUUCCUGAGAAAAAAUUCAGGGAACCCAGGGACCUCCCGUAUGCACAGUAAACCUUUUAGCUUUUCGGCGUCAAAUCGAGUAAGGACCACUUAUCCUAUUCCCUAUCAUAAAAUUGAAGUUUAAAUAAAUAAUAAUACAGUAUUUUAUAGAAAUUAAAUAGAUGUGAAUGACUAAUUACGGAUUACUAAUAGAGCCCGAACUGGACAUUGUUCCCCGUUGAUUUAUUUUAUAGUCUAAAAAUAUGAUAGUAUCUGAUUUAUCUAUUUUAUGGUUUAAAUACAUGUAUUACUGCCUUACCUGACCAUUGUUUGAUUUGAGAUUUGAGAUAUGAUUGCAUUAUCGGAUGCAUGUUUAUUUGUUUAUGUGAUUAUGUUUGAUUUGGUAAUGGAGACUAAAGGAAAACAGGAAAGGGGUGUCAUCAAAUAAACAGAUGGAAUGACAGUCUUACUAGAUAUCCUAGAAGAUGGUGAACGGACCCAGUACAUGGGGAACCCUACCGUGAACGUUGUCUCAUAUCGGACGAGGUACGGAGACUUGGGCAUUUGGCGCUCAUACCGGACGGGAUAUGGGACGGCCCGCUUUACCCUCAUAGCGGAUAGGGUAUUGAGGUUUAAUGUCUUGGCACUCAUACCAGACGGGGUAUGGGGACGGUCCUGUAAUUGAGAUUGUUAAAGGGAAGGGUUCACGUGUAGCGGGGACAUUUUUAUGAACCCCCACGGAUACUAGUAGGCUGGUAAAAUGAGAAACACUAUGAUUUGAUUUAUUGUUAAUGGAUGAAUCUAUGAUAUGUUCUAUGUUGAUGAUUGUUCAUAAAGUUAUGAUUUGUAUGGU